Molecule: long non-coding RNA, 1014 nt
Organism: Crotalus tigris (Tiger rattlesnake)
Lineage: Eukaryota; Metazoa; Chordata; Lepidosauria; Squamata; Viperidae
Exons: 5
Source: RefSeq, a predicted model, not a curated record
CUCAAGCUCCCAUUGACUGGAGAGGAAAAGUAGGAUACAACCUUUUUAUGGCCAGAAAAAAAUGUUGGGGUGAAGAAAGACUCACAGCAGAUCCUGGAUGCCCAAUAGGACCCUGGAUCCCAGUUGGUCCUGGAGGACCCUGUUGAAAGAGAAAGUCCAGGUGGUCCGGGAUUACCCCCUCUUCCUGGUAGUCCAAUGCCUCCGGCUGCUCCAGAGGGACCUCGUUCUCCAGGAGGACCCUGUCAGGAGGGAAUAAAUCUAUGAACCCCAUCUCUCUAUCUGAAGUUAUCUCUAAUGCAGACCUCUCCUUUGAUUAAUGUUUGCUGUUACCCCAUUAAUUCAGGCUGCAACAUCAUGAGAAAGAAUUUGACUCCAAGAAUCCACCCUUGCUGCAGUAAGGGGUCUUCACUGAUAAUGGCACCACGGGCUCCUGUGAAGCCUCUGAUUCCAGGAGGACCUGGAAUGCCUGGGAUGCCACUAGGUCCAGGAUCACCCUAGAGAGAAGUGAACAAUAGAGUCAACAAUAGAAUGUUGAACCCAUUAAGGAAAUAUAGAGAAAGCAGCCAGACAAAUUUCCAAGGCAAGAAAUCAGCAAAGGAGAACAAGACAAAAAAGGAGGCAGUUAUCCACAGACCACGUGGCAACAACCAACCUUGAGAGGAAUUUACAUUAAUUGUCACGGUUCCAAUCGACAGAGACAAAUAAAGCAGAACUCCGAGGCUCGCAAAUUCCUCAAAGAACAUAUUUAUUGAUACAGAGUAUCGACACUUCAAAAGUGAAACCAACUCUGAAGAGAUGCAUAACAAUUCCCCAAUACAAAGUUAAGAAAUCCCACCCCUAAAGCUAUGCAAGCAACUACGUUUCCCAAUUCAGCUUGUUGGCGGACUUUUCAUGAAACGGCCAGCCCACAGUCUCAGGAGCAGCUGAUGACCUUGGUUCUCAUGAGAGAAAGUUGCAUAGAGAAAGUCUGUUUUGUCUAGUGCAGUGUUUCUCAACCUUGACAAUUUUAAGGCA